UUGGGGUGUGAGGUAGGGGUGUCUGCAUGUCCAGAGGUGUCCCCAGGACACGCAGGGUAGCUCCAGGACUGAUGUGAGGCCCCAUAUACAAUGUGCAUGUGUCCCUGAGCUUGUCCUUCUCCUCAUUCCUUCAUCUCACCGCUGUUAGCAUCACAAUCUCUGAGUGCCAAGGCCCAGGUAGAGGCCCCCAGUGCCCAACAUGGGUACAAGGGAUGAGGGUUACCCGUGUAGGAGAACAUACUUCUCCUUCUUGGGGUCUCCACCCUGUUCAUCCAUCCCAGCUGUGUCCCCCGGGGGUGGAGAAGGUGGGGAGGGCUGCGGCCGUGGCUGGAGCUGGGUGCAGAGCGGGGCUCCCUGCUCAGCUGCCCUGUCUGCCUGCCCCUGCCAGGCUGCAGUACGAGGACGAGGUGCUGAGGAAGACGACGCCGGCAGCACCCAGGCCUCCAGCACAGGGUGAGUGUCGGCAUCGUCCCUGUCCUGGGGUCCUGAGCCUGCUCGGGGGGGUGGUGGCAGGCAGGAGAAGGAGCUGGGACUUGCAGCAGUCCAAAACCCCUCCACACGGUUCCCUGAGUUUAGAUAACCCUUUCCCAGCCGGUCCCCUCUGGGUGGCUGUCGUGGUCUUGCCCUUGUGCCCCCCCGAUGUCCCCUCCUGUCCUUCUCCUAGGCUGUGACCUCCCUUUCCCUUCGGAGAGGCUGCAGCAGAGGCCGAGCAGGAGGCGAGGAGCCACCUCUGGGCAUCUCCCAGCGUCAGGGCAGCACCGUCUGCCCCAGGAGGUAACGGGGACGGUGUGGGGCAGAGGAGGUGAAGCUCGGGGGCUCCAGAGGGAUGGGAUUGUGUGCACAGGCUGGGGACGGUCCCUGCAGCCCUCACAUUUACGUGGGAGAGGUUUUCCGUGGGCACUGCCCGAGGCUGAGCUGCGGCUCUCUGCUCCUCUCACCCAGCCGUCCUCAGAACAGCAGCGGGGCGACAGCGGCGUCCCCAGCACUUCUUCCACCCCGGCCAUCACCUUCCUCAUCCAGGAGGCUCUGAUCUCCGGGGGCCUUGAGGCUCUGGCCCGGGACCCGUCCUUCGUGGCGAUGACCAGGGCCGAGAUGGCAGCCAGCAGCCAGCUGGAGAUGGAUGAAGUGGAGGAGGCGGCUGUGGAGCUGCUGAAGGGAAGAGAAGCACCGCGGGAUGCCGGUUCUGUCCCCUGGGACACCUCGGCUGCGUCACCAGCCGGCUCCCCGGGGCUCCGUGCAGCCGCCUCCCAAAAAUCCAGCCCUGCUGCUCACCCGUGAGCCGCCUGCCACUGCGGCCCCCUGGGCACAGCCCCUUUCAGGACCCUGUGGGGGCUACCAGAGCAAUAACAGGCAUCUCGCCACCUUUCUGGGGCUGUGGCUUUGGGAUGCUGGUGACGGGACAGGAUAAUGCUGUGCCAGAAGGGUCUGGGAAGAGCUGGAUGGGUCAUUAAAGUGUCCCUGCUGUGUGAGUCCCUGCGUUCCUCGUCCCCUCCUUCCUCUGCCAGCCCCACUGCACAGCUCAGGGCUGCUGACUGCAAAUUGGGGCAGCAGCCGGAUUUAUUUCUCUCCAGAAAGGGGUCUGCCCCGGGGCUUGGUUUUACAGACUUCUGGUGCCCCAGGAGGAAUUUGGGUGCCAGGCACUGGGGCAGCCCCGUCUCCCUCGGGCAUCUGUAGGGUUCUUGCUUCAGAGGGUCUCCAGCCCCUCCAAAGUGGGUGAUUCAGGGCUUUUCCUUGCCUAAUAUAUAUUAAAAUGCAGCAAACCGAUAGGUCCCAGGAGAGGUAUUGAAUCAAUAGCGCUUGUCUGCGCUCCAGCAGGGCAUUUUGUUAACUUAAUAAAAGGGAAACGGCUGUUGCUGAGCUCCA
RNAcentral lists this long non-coding RNA (1863 nucleotides) under Anas platyrhynchos platyrhynchos (common mallard). RNAcentral's name for it is "lncRNA (ENSAPLG00000026939.1)". The record is from RNAcentral. Lineage: Eukaryota; Metazoa; Chordata; Aves; Anseriformes; Anatidae.